This is a long non-coding RNA of Felis catus (domestic cat), 1331 nucleotides long. RefSeq lists it as uncharacterized. The record is from RefSeq and is a predicted model, not a curated record. The transcript is spliced from 2 exons. NCBI's taxonomy places the organism in Eukaryota, Metazoa, Chordata, Mammalia, Carnivora, Felidae.
UUCCCCCUUCUCUGCUGUUCUACUCCCUUCUCCUAUUUUCCUCCAUAGCAUCUAGCAUCAUCUACCAUGCUAAACUUACUUCUUUAGUGUCUGUUUCCUCCUACUAAAACUUGAGCUCCACAAAGGCAGAGAUUUUCACUGCUCUAUCACCAGGACCCAGAACAGUGACUAGAACAUAGUAGGGGCUUAAUUAUUUAAUGAAUGAAUGGUGCUCAAUGAAUGUCAAAAGAAUGAAUGAAUGAACUGAUCAAUCAGAGGAAAAAUUCAUAGAGGCUGUCAGAUUUCAGAGGAGAGGAGUCUCAUUUCUGGCAGGGGCAGGGCAGGCGACCAGGGGAGGCUUUCAUGGGGAGGUGAUGCGCUGUGGGGUUCACUGUACUUCCAGGGGAGAGUGGGAUCUGAGAACAACAGCAGCUCUGCCUUCACUUCUCUGCCUUCAGUAGAGGGGAGGACACUGGAGUUGGAAGUGCUAAUCAUCCUGUGAGGAAUCGCUCCUCUCGGCAGUGGAAUACUGGAAUACGCACAGGGCUGUCCAUUUAUUUUCCUUUGGCCCCAAGCAGCUGGGUCUCAUUUUCACCCUAAUUGCUUUGCUUCAGGUUGCUGUCAUUUGCCAGGAAUAGGGGCAAGCUAACUGUGCUGAUGGGAGAAACAGAUGUCAGCUCAGAGUCCUCCUCUGAGCACCUGAUCCUGGGCACAGAACAUGGGACCCCCAUGGAGGGGUCUUUAAGGACUCAUCCACGUGGUGUCCUCUGCAACCCACAUGAUUCGGCCCCAGCUGGAGUGGGAAGCAUGGAAAGGUGGAACCCCUCUCUCUGGUUUCUCAGCAACUAACACAAGGUUGUCCUGCGCUUGGGUGACUGCAGACUGGAAUGUCCUUCCUCCGCUUCUCUACGUGAAGAACUCCUGCCCAUCCUGCCAGGCCUGGCUCAGUUGUGCCCCCUUCCUAGAUCUCCCAGCCAGGCACAAAGCUCCUGCAGCAUGGGGUCUCACCUCUGCCUGGAGGCUGCCCUCGCUGCACCAGAAUUGGUGGCUUAUGGAUUUUCUGUCCUCAUGGUGGAGUCCCUGAUGCCCCGCUCCGACGGCCAUCCUCCCUCUCUUCCUUGUGCUCAGCACAGGGCCUGCUGAGGUUCAUGGGAUUAUUUGACUGCUGAGGGUAUUCAGAAUCUGUGAUUAAGCCAUGCCCUGGAGCCAGUCUAUCCUGGGUCCUGGGCCCCAGGCUUCCAUCCUUCUGCCUUCACCCAACACCCAGUUAAUGUCUCUGCAAAGCCUUAAAACAUUCCUUUAAUGACAAUAAAUAAAUAAAUAAAUAAAUAAAUAAAAUCAUAGAUUAAAAA